Molecule: ribosomal RNA, 435 nt
Filed under: uncultured archaeon
Lineage: Archaea
Description: bacterial SSU rRNA
Rfam family: Archaeal small subunit ribosomal RNA
Source: RNAcentral
GGAGGCGACCGCUAUUGGAGUUCGAUUAAGCCAUGCGAGUAGAAAGAAAUUAGAUUCUUUGCAUACUGCUCAGUAACACGUGGAUAACCUGCCCUGUGCUGGGGGAUAAUCUCGGGAAACUGAGCAUAAUACCCCAUAGGUCACAACGCCUGGAACGGUGUGUGGCUGAAAGCUCUGGCGGCACAGGAUGGGUCUGCGGCGUAUCAGGUAGUAGGGGGUGUAAUGGACCCCCUAGCCUUCAACGCGUACGGGUUGUGGGGGCAAUAGCCCGGAGACGGAUUCUGAGACACGAAUCCGGACCCUACGGGGUGCAGCAGGCGCGAAAACUUCACACUGCAGGCAACUGUGAUGAGGGAACUCCAAGUGACUGCACAAUGUGUAGCCUUUUCUUGACUGUUAACAAGUCUUGGAAUAAGGGCUGGGAAAGACCGGUGC